UAACUGAGGUUAGGGGCCUGGCUUAAUGU
This 29-nucleotide non-coding RNA is filed under the name Rattus norvegicus (Norway rat). The record is from RNAcentral. Lineage: Eukaryota; Metazoa; Chordata; Mammalia; Rodentia; Muridae.